Molecule: ribosomal RNA, 450 nt
Filed under: uncultured organism
Description: partial 16S ribosomal RNA
Rfam family: Bacterial small subunit ribosomal RNA
Source: RNAcentral
CGUACACUCCUACGGGAGGCAGCAGUGGGGAAUAUUGGACAAUGGGCGCAAGCCUGAUCCAGCCAUGCCGCGUGAGUGAUGAAGGCCCUAGGGUUGUAAAGCUCUUUCACCGGUGAAGAUAAUGACGGUAACCGGAGAAGAAGCCCCGGCUAACUUCGUGCCAGCAGCCGCGGUAAUACGAAGGGGGCUAGCGUUGUUCGGAUUUACUGGGCGUAAAGCGCACGUAGGCGGACUAUUAAGUCAGGGGUGAAAUCCCGGGGCUCAACCCCGGAACUGCCUUUGAUACUGGUAGUCUUGAGUUCGAGAGAGGUGAGUGGAAUUCCGAGUGUAGAGGUGAAAUUCGUAGAUAUUCGGAGGAACACCAGUGGCGAAGGCGGCUCACUGGCUCGAUACUGACGCUGAGGUGCGAAAGCGUGGGGAGCAAACAGGAUUAGAAACCCUAGUAGUCCC